CAAAAAGUGACUGUUUUUAUGGUCAUAAAGAAAGCGUGAAAGUGCCUUUUUCCAUUGGCAACAAAGACAAUGUGCUGAAGGAGGGAUUUAUGACAAUGAACUGAUUAUCCAACGAGGGAGAAGGAAUAAGAGUUAAUUUUGAUGCUACUGGGAGGCUUGGAAGCAGCUGAAACAACAAACUGUGUGCAGUUGUAUCCUUCCUAGGUUUGGUAUGCUCAUCACACUGAUAGACUUUAGGACGCUACUUUCUACAAUUAAUUAAGGUUGUUCAACAAAUGAGAGAGAAUUAAACUGCAAUUUGGUCAUACUGGAACAGUCAAUGUCUGCAUGGGUGUUGUUUUUCGUGGACUGUAUUCUUGAUUUGCUGUUUUCGUCUUCGCCUUGCAACAUUAUUCAGUUCAUUUUCAACACAUGAGUGAAAGCAACUGGACAUUUAUUUGAAUUUCACUGAAAUAAAGAAUUUUAUGCUACUACAGUAUUCCUCCUGGAGUUGGAUUGCUUUUCCCACCUGCAAACUUUGGAACAUUACAGUUUACAGUUAAUUAAGAUCGACGUUGGAGAAGACAAAGAUGACCCCCCAGUUAAAAU
Agrilus planipennis (emerald ash borer) is the source of this 588-nucleotide long non-coding RNA. RefSeq lists it as uncharacterized. Lineage: Eukaryota; Metazoa; Arthropoda; Insecta; Coleoptera; Buprestidae. The record is from RefSeq and is a predicted model, not a curated record. The transcript is spliced from 4 exons.